This 447-nucleotide ribosomal RNA is filed under the name uncultured bacterium. RNAcentral's name for it is "partial 16S ribosomal RNA". It matches the Rfam family "Bacterial small subunit ribosomal RNA", at positions 29 to 523 of the family's 1533-position model. The record is from RNAcentral.
AGCGAACGCUGGCGGCAGGCUUAACACAUGCAAGUCGAGCGCCCCGCAAGGGGAGCGGCAGACGGGUGAGUAACACGUGGGAACGUGCCUUUUGGUUCGGAACAACCCAGGGAAACUUGGGCUAAUACCGGAUAAGCCCUUACGGGGAAAGAUUUAUCGCCGAAAGAUCGGCCCGCGUCUGAUUAGCUAGUUGGUGGGGUAAUGGCCCACCAAGGCUACGAUCAGUAGCUGGUCUGAGAGGAUGAUCAGCCACAUUGGGACUGAGACACGGCCCAAACUCCUACGGGAGGCAGCAGUGGGGAAUAUUGGACAAUGGGGGCAACCCUGAUCCAGCCACGCCGCGUGAGUGAUGAAGGCCUUAGGGUUGUAAAGCUCUUUUAGCAGGGAAGAUAAUGACGGUACCUGCAGAAAAAGCCCCGGCUAACUUCGUGCCAGCAGCCGCCGUAA